GACGUAGGUGGCGAACGUUAUCCGGAAUUAUUGGGCGUAAAGGGUGCGUAGGUGGCCUGGCAAGUUAUCAGUGGUAAAUCGAGGCCCAACCUCGUGGAAACUGGCAAUACUGCUUGGCUUGAGUGCAGGAGAGGUUAACGGAACCCUAUGUGGAGCGGUAAAAUGCACAGAUAUAUAGAAGAACAUCAAUAACGGCGAAGGCAGUUAACUAUUCUGUUACUGACACUGAGGCACGAAAGCGUGGGGAGCAAAACGG
This 256-nucleotide ribosomal RNA is filed under the name uncultured bacterium. Its description in RNAcentral is "partial 16S ribosomal RNA". It matches the Rfam family "Bacterial small subunit ribosomal RNA", at positions 524 to 776 of the family's 1533-position model. The record is from RNAcentral.